CGGAUCUAAAACCACCGAGAGGAACUUGUAAAAAUAUUCACUUCGAUCCCGAAGAAGCGCCUAACGAUUGGCGUUGAGAUGCCCGAGACAAUCUCGUUUCCACUCAAUUUUUAGACACUCGUCGAGGAGCCAUGACUCCUGCUAUUCCUCGAAGAUCUGAUCCUUUCUGGACUUCCGCCCCUGCUCAGGGUGCUUUCGGAAGCUGUCCGUGUCACAGGAACAGACGGCAACGGCUACAGGUGCCGGCGGAGCGGGAAUUCUGCGUGCCAAGGAACAAUAGCAUUUGUCCGCGGAGACGCAGGUACAGGAUUCAGAAUCGUAGCUGCACUCGCUGCAGCUGACAUACCCGCUGCUACUCCUAUUGGCACCUGCCCCUACGUUGCGACCGAGUCGUCUACCUACAAAGGAUGGUCUCCUCCUGCCGAGCCUGCUGGCCAGGACACGAUUGUUUCCAUGGCCGUUCCUCGCACCACAGGAUGAGCUGCUGUCGAUGCUGUCAUUGAGCCUCCUGGCAGGGAAUAUGACGGAAGUAAAUUCAGUCG
Molecule: long non-coding RNA, 542 nt
Organism: Orussus abietinus
Lineage: Eukaryota; Metazoa; Arthropoda; Insecta; Hymenoptera; Orussidae
Exons: 4
Source: RefSeq, a predicted model, not a curated record